Molecule: ribosomal RNA, 119 nt
Filed under: Helianthus annuus (common sunflower)
Lineage: Eukaryota; Viridiplantae; Streptophyta; Magnoliopsida; Asterales; Asteraceae
Source: RNAcentral
GGUUGCGAUCAUACCAGCACUAAUGCACCGGAUCCCAUCAGAACUCCGCAGUUAAGCGUGCUUGGGCGAGAGUAGUACUAGGAUGGGUGACCCCCUGGAAAGUCCUCGUGUUGCAACCC